GACGAACGCUGGCGGCGUGCUUAACACAUGCAAGUCGAACGGAAAGGCCCUGCUUUUGUGGGGUGCUCGUGUGGCGAACGGGUGAGUAACACGUGAGUAACCUGCCCUUGACUUUGGGAUAACUUCAGGAAACUGGGGCUAAUACCGGAUAGGAGCUCCUGCUGCAUGGUGGGGGUUGGAAAGUUUCGGCGGUUGGGGAUGGACUCGCGGCUUAUCAGCUUGUUGGUGGGGUAGUGGCUUACCAAGGCUUUGACGGGUAGCCGGCCUGAGAGGGUGACCGGCCACAUUGGGACUGAGAUACGGCCCAGACUCCUACGGGAGGCAGAGGUGGGGAAUAUUGCAGAAUGGGCGGAAGCCUGAUGCAGCAACGCCGCGUGCGGGAUGACGGCCUUCGGGUUGUAAACCGCUUUCGCCUGUGACGAAGCGUGAGUGACGGUAAUGGGUAAAGAAGCACCGGCUAACUACGUG
Molecule: ribosomal RNA, 468 nt
Filed under: uncultured bacterium
Lineage: Bacteria
Description: partial 16S ribosomal RNA
Rfam family: Bacterial small subunit ribosomal RNA
Source: RNAcentral